This 971-nucleotide ribosomal RNA is filed under the name Neoroussoella solani. RNAcentral's name for it is "SSU rRNA". It matches the Rfam family "Eukaryotic small subunit ribosomal RNA", at positions 143 to 1126 of the family's 1831-position model. Lineage: Eukaryota; Fungi; Ascomycota; Dothideomycetes; Pleosporales; Thyridariaceae. The record is from RNAcentral.
AUACCGUGGUAAUUCUAGAGCUAUACAUGCAAAAAUCCCGACUUCGGGAGGGGUGUAUUUAUUAGAUAAAAAACCAAUGCCUUCGGGGCUCUUUGGUGAUUCAUGAUAACUUAACGGAUCGCAUGGCCUUGCGCCGGCGACGGUUCAUUCAAAUUUCUGCCCUAUCAACUUUCGAUGGUAAGGUAUUGGCUUACCAUGGUUUCAACGGGUAACGGAUUUUUAGGGAAAGAUCCCGGAGAGGGAGCCUGAGAAACGGCUACCACAUCCAAGGAAGGCAGCAGGCGCGCAAAUUACCCAAUCCCGACACGGGGAGGUAGUGACAAUAAAUACUGAUACAGGGCUCUUUUGGGUCUUGUAAUCGGAAUGAGUACAAUUUAAAUACCUUAACGAGGAACAAUUGGAGGGCAAGUCUGGUGCCAGCAGCCGCGGUAAUUCCAGCUCCAAUAGCGUAUAUUAAAGUUGUUGCAGUUAAAAAGCUCGUAGUUGAACCUUGGGCCUGGCUGGCCGGUCCGCCUCACCGCGUGUACUGGUCCGGCCGGGCCUUUCCUUCUGGAGAACCCCAUGCCCUUCACUGGGCGUGGCGGGGAACCAGGACUUUUACUUUGAGAAAAUUAGAGUGUUCAAAGCAGGCCUUUGCUCGAAUACGUUAGCAUGGAAUAAUAGAAUAGGACGUGUGGUUCUAUUUUGUUGGUUUCUAGAACCGCCGUAAUGAUUAAUAGGGAUAGUCGGGGGCGUCAGUAUUCAAUUGUCAGAGGUGAAAUUCUUGGAUCUAUUGAAGACUAACUACUGCGAAAGCAUUCGCCAAGGAUGUUUUCAUUAAUCAGUGAACGAAAGUUAGGGGAUCGAAGACGAUCAGAUACCGUCGUAGUCUUAACCGUAAACUAUGCCGACUAGGGAUCGGGCGAUGUUUCUAUCUUGACUCGCUCGGCACCUUACGAGAAAUCAUAAGUUUUUGGGUUCUGGGGGAGUAU